Molecule: ribosomal RNA, 1155 nt
Filed under: Triticum aestivum (bread wheat)
Lineage: Eukaryota; Viridiplantae; Streptophyta; Magnoliopsida; Poales; Poaceae
Description: partial small subunit ribosomal RNA
Source: RNAcentral
AUGGACCGUCGCAAGGAAGUUACCGCUGCUAAGUUAACCGAUGAUCUAGUGGUCGAUAUCCUCUCCCGCUUGACAUACAAGGACUUUUGCCGCUGCAAAUGUGCCUAUAAGGCCUGGUCUGCCUUCUCCUCCGAUCCAGACUACCGCAAGAGGCUGCCCAAAAAAGUAACCACUGGACUUCUGUACCAAGCCCGCAAUACGUCUGCUAUCCCGCUUGUUAGCCUGUCCCGAGAUGAUGGAGAAAUCGAUGGAAUUCUUGCUGACGUGCCACACUAUGAGCAUUUAGAGUUUCUUGACUGCUGCAAUGGUCUAGUCCUCUGCAAGUACAAGAGCAGCUAUACUUCUCCAGGCAUUUGCCGCUUUGUUGUGUGCAACCCAGCAACACGAGAGUGGAGAAUACUUCCUGAUACUUUUGUUGGGACUGAUGGCCACCGUCGUACAACUAUUUUGGCCUUUGAUCCUUCAUGGUCACCACACUUCUAUGUCUUCAGCUUUAAUCGCAUUUUGGCGGGCAAAGUUGAGAUGUUUUCGUCUGCCGGUUCCGCGUGGCUUGUGGAUGAUGAAUGGGAUUCUGAUAUAGCUUUUUCAUGGGGGAAGCCUCACUUAUUUCUUAAUGGAAUGUUGUGCGUGGAGAUUAGGGGACAGCAAGUUUUGGUGUUUGAAGGUUUGGAGACAAUGAGCGAUGGCAUACUGCCCUAUCAUUACACCAUUGACUUGCCAUUUGACUGUGCACCCGUGAGUAGUUUCACUGAUGGCUGCUUUGACAAAUCUUCAGGGAUCUUACACUACGCAUUGCCAGAUAGGAGUGGUCAUUCCAUUGUAGUUUGGACUUUGGAGGAUUAUGCUCAUCGUUUAUGGCAUUGGACCCUGAAGUGCCAUCUUAACAUGGCAGAUGCAUUUGGAAGGAAAGACUUGGUUUGCUAUGACAAUGGAGGCAUCGGUGGUGUCCCUGACUGGUUUUGGAACUGCGAUUAUCGGAUUCUCGCUCUCGAGUUGGAGAGAGAGCUUGUUGUCCUCUCUGACCAUAAGACAAUGAAGCUUAUCUCUUACAAUAUCAGCACCGGGGAACUUAACGAGAUACGAGACGGCCUUGAGGGGUAUCGGUACUAUGUGCCAUGCUACUCAGAGCUUCCAGCCCAAGAACCUUCGGUGUAG